UAGUCUGCAACCCGACUACAUGAAGCUGGAAUCGCUAGUAAUCGCAGAUCAGAAUGCUGCGGUGAAUACGUUCCCGGGUCUUGUACACACCGCCCGUCACACCAUGGGAGUUGGAAAUGCCUGAAGUCGGUGACCUAACCGAAAGGGAGGAGCCGCCGAAGGCAGGUCUGAUAACUGGGGUGAAGUCGUAACAAGGUAUC
RNAcentral lists this ribosomal RNA (200 nucleotides) under uncultured bacterium. RNAcentral describes it as "partial 16S ribosomal RNA". It matches the Rfam family "Bacterial small subunit ribosomal RNA", at positions 1301 to 1500 of the family's 1533-position model. The record is from RNAcentral.